AACGAACGCUGGCGGCAUGCCUAACACAUGCAAGUCGAACGAGACCUUCGGGUCUAGUGGCGCACGGGUGCGUAACGCGUGGGAACCUGCCCUUAGGUUCGGAAUAACUCCCCGACAGGGGUGCUAAUACCGGAUAAUGUCUUCGGACCAAAGAUUUGUCGCCUUUGGAUGGGCCCGCGUUGGAUUAGCUAGUUGGUAGGGUAAAAGCCUACCAAGGCGACGAUCCAUAGCUGGUCUGAGAGGAUGAUCAGGCACACUGGGACUGAGACACGGCCCAGACUCCUACGGGAGGCAGCAGUGGGGAAUAUUGGACAAUGGGCGAAAGCCUGAUCCAGCAAUGCCGCGUGAGUGAUGAAGGCCUUAGGGUUGUAAAGCUCUUUUACCCGGGAUGAUAAUGACAGUACCGGGAGAAUAAGCUCCGGCUAACUCCGUG
Molecule: ribosomal RNA, 433 nt
Filed under: uncultured bacterium
Lineage: Bacteria
Description: partial 16S ribosomal RNA
Rfam family: Bacterial small subunit ribosomal RNA
Source: RNAcentral